AUGGAUGGGAAGACUUGCCCAGUGUAUUGACUGUUUUGUCUUUGAAAUGUAGCCAUCAAUUAUGAUGGCCUCUUGUGCAGAAGAAGCCAGAUUUAUGACUACGACUGGAGAGGAGGGGUACAAGCUUUUAUUGAGCUUGGACUUGGGGCCAGAAAUGGAUACAAAGAAAAAGAGCAAGAUAUGAUCACUACUGAUUCUGAGUGGUGCUUCUUUGACAGCCAUGUUGCAGAUAAACAAGAGAUUUAGAAGUUCCCACUCUCAAAACUGUUUAAGUUCUAAUUGGGAAGGCAGAGUAUGAUAACUUGAUCACUUGUCUGAACUAUCAAUACACAGUUUUCCUUCUGGAAAAAGAAAUGUAAUACACUGCAAAGGUAUA
This is a long non-coding RNA of Tupaia belangeri chinensis (Chinese tree shrew), 376 nucleotides long. RefSeq lists it as uncharacterized. Lineage: Eukaryota; Metazoa; Chordata; Mammalia; Scandentia; Tupaiidae. The record is from RefSeq and is a predicted model, not a curated record. The transcript has 3 exons.